AGCGAACGCUGGCGGCAGGCCUAACACAUGCAAGUCGAACGAACCUUUCGGGGUUAGUGGCGGACGGGUGAGUAACACGUAGGAACGUGCCUUUAGGUUCGGAAUAACUCAGGGAAACUUGUGCUAAUACCGAAUGUGCCCUUCGGGGGAAAGAUUUAUCGCCUUUAGAGCGGCCCGCGUCUGAUUAGCUAGUUGGUUGAGGUAAUGGCUCACCAAGGCGACGAUCAGUAGCUGGUCUGAGAGGAUGAUCAGCCACAUUGGGACUGAGACACGGCCCAAACUCCUACGGGAGGCAGCAGUGGGGAAUCUUGCGCAAUGGGCGAAAGCCUGACGCAGCCAUGCCGCGUGAAUGAUGAAGGUCUUAGGAUUGUAAAAUUCUUUCACCGGGGACGAUAAUGACGGUACCCGGAGAAGAAGCCCCGGCUAACUUCGUG
RNAcentral lists this ribosomal RNA (434 nucleotides) under uncultured bacterium. RNAcentral describes it as "partial 16S ribosomal RNA". It matches the Rfam family "Bacterial small subunit ribosomal RNA", at positions 29 to 507 of the family's 1533-position model. The record is from RNAcentral.